Molecule: ribosomal RNA, 510 nt
Filed under: Triticum aestivum (bread wheat)
Lineage: Eukaryota; Viridiplantae; Streptophyta; Magnoliopsida; Poales; Poaceae
Description: partial small subunit ribosomal RNA
Source: RNAcentral
AUGUACGUACUGAUGCGCGCCCACUACCCGAAAUCAAGGUCAAGCAAACCAGCUGAGACGGCAAAGCUGCGCACGCGAUCGAUUGCUUCCGGUUCUGGGCACUGCUUGACUCAUUUCUUUCUUUUUGAGCAAAGGGACUACCCGCCCGCAGAUUCUUCAUUCGUUAACGAAACAGUUGAGAGUUUCUACACCACCCGUGAGGGCACUGCUGUCUGCUGUACUACGACGUACAGUGCCUUUGAGCUGUCCAAGCUAGAGGAUGGGCCUCUCGAAUUAACUACCACGGACGCGCUCUGGUUCCAUCACUGCUGUGUGCUGACCCGUGACUUGGUCAGAGAUAGUUCGUUGAAGCGAGAGGGCCAUCUCUCGAGUUGCAUAGAUGGGUUCCGAUGGCGAGGCCAUCCAUCGACAUCCGCAGCGAGACGCACGCCGGAAAGCGCACGCGCACCACGUACGCACGCUCUACGCCACUCGCUAGUAGCGGGCGUCGUGGUCAACCUCCCAAGUUAA